RNAcentral lists this small nucleolar RNA (196 nucleotides) under Sciurus vulgaris (Eurasian red squirrel). RNAcentral's name for it is "Small nucleolar RNA U3 (ENSSVLG00005016890.1)". It matches the Rfam family "Small nucleolar RNA U3". Rfam says of the family: Small nucleolar RNAs (snoRNAs) are involved in the processing and modification of rRNA in the nucleolus. There are two main classes of snoRNAs: the box C/D class, and the box H/ACA class. Lineage: Eukaryota; Metazoa; Chordata; Mammalia; Rodentia; Sciuridae. The record is from RNAcentral.
AAGACUAUGUUUUGAGAGGUCACUUCUGUAGUAUGUUAUUACAGAGUGUUCCUCAACUUGGGAAACCUCAAUGAGCCACAGAACGUCCUCCUGAGCAGAAUGUUUGUGAGUGGUGCCACCUACUGGCUUCUGCUUGCUACUGCAUAUUUCUCUUUUCCUCCUUUGGGAAGAAUUAGGAGGGAGAGUAAAAAGCAGA